CUGUCGUGAGUGGCACACGUAGG
Molecule: non-coding RNA, 23 nt
Filed under: Cricetulus griseus (Chinese hamster)
Lineage: Eukaryota; Metazoa; Chordata; Mammalia; Rodentia; Cricetidae
Source: RNAcentral